UGACUCGGCCCAAUCUAAGACUGUGAAGCGCGCUAUUGCUUUGCUCUGCUUGGAAUCCGCUUUAAAGAAGUCUUGUGAGCACGUUUUGUUGGAGAGUUUCGCGGCCCAGGUGGACAGGUUGGGUGCUGCUGGAUUCCCCACAAGGCUGUUGGCGAGUGUAGCCGAAGGCCUUCUCCAAAAGGUUAAAGGAAAGGUGCGGAAACCUAGGGGGGAAGUCGCGAGGGGUUCCACUAGAUGUAUGGUUGUUCCGUACGUGCACAGAGUAUCGCACAAUUUGAAAAGAGUGGCUAAUAGGUACGGUGUACCUAUGGUAUUUUCGGCACCUUGCAAGCUCUCGGGCCUUUGUUCGAAAGUUGAUCGUAGUAAGCCUAAAGUCUCUUGUGGCAAGAGUCAUCAGCACCAGUACGUUAGCUGUGCGGUGGGGGUAGUUUAUGAGAUCCCCCUCACAUGCGAUAGGGUGUACAUUGGCCAGACUGGCCGGUGUGUUAACGACAGGGCCCGAGAGCAUGAAAGGUCUUUGUCUAGUGCGGACACGCGUCAUUUGCCUAUGCAUGUUACCAAAUGCAAGUGUACUCCGCUAUUUAGUCAGAUUGUUGUGCUAUCUAGGAGCAGAGAUAAGGGUGCGCGGGAGUUAUCUGAAGCGUUUUUCAUCGGGGAUAGAGGCGGUAGGUGUGUGAGCCAAACUUCUGUGUCUUUGUUAUCGGGGGAGAGGAGGAUGUUGUCGAGACGGUAGUGAUUGUGUCUGUCUGAGCGUCUGCGCUCUUGGACCAAGGUGGGGUGACUGGGUUGGCGGCUGUGCGCCUGCGUACUGGUUUUUGUAUUAUUAAACUGUUCGUUGGAGUCAGCGCCUGUCCUGUCCUCUCUUCUUCCGUUGUGUCUUCUCGCGCUGUGUUUUGCAUCUUCAUGUAUAGUUACCAACGUGCCCAACAGCGAGUCCUCUUGGAGUGCAUUUAGAGGUGUCGUUAAAAGGUACGUGCUAUUGGCAUCUGUUCACGAUCAGGGAGUAGAGGACUUGCGACAAUAUUUAAUGAGUCACUUUCACGAUAUGGUCGCUAUAUUGAGGGCGCAACGAAUACCCUUUAGUUUUUGCAUUUGUUCUGACGUUUUAACGAUAAAGGAAAUUCGUGGGGAGAUGAUCGCGCACAUCGCCCACUUUAUGGCGUUUGCUCGCGAAGUCCACAGUGACGGAGCCAUCGCGAAUACCUAAUAAUGGACGUGAUUCAGAAGCCCACAGGGCGCGUAGAAAAUAAAUUAUCAGCGGGAACAGAGCGGGUUGCUGUCCUACGACGUCCAAAACGUUGAAAUAUGUAUUUCCGCAGUGAAAACGAAAAAAUUCGGAUGCAAUGGGGCGCUUCCCGAUCAUUUGGCUAAACGCAGGAACGUACUAACAAAUAUUCAUUUACCGGCACGUAAGGAGGGUGAGUGUUUUAAAUACAACACGCUCGCCCUCCUGCAUGCACAGAGUUGGAAUACAUGGUCAAAAAAAUAUAAAAAUUACGCCGCGGAGUACUGGUAGCCUAGUCGCUUCCCCGCUUCCUACUCUGACCUGGACGAAUUCGAAGACAAAAACAUGAUAUCCGUGUACGUAUACGAGUACGUCGAUCAGGGAGUGCAUGUGUCGUGACCCCCAAAACUCGAGUAUGAAAAGAAAAUUCACUUAUUGGCUAUAGACCAGCAUUUUUUUGGAAUCAAGUCCCUCGAGCGGUUACUAAUUAGGAAAGACAAGCGUUUCGUAUGCGAGUGUUGCACGCGCUCUUUCCUGAAGGAAGAGAGCAUGGCGAAACAUCGUCGCCUGUGCGCAGACGUAAACGAAAUCAUAUUGGAAUUUUGCGAACCGGGCAAAAACUUUGUAGAAUUUACUAAAAUACAGUACAAGCAGCAGUAUAACUAUGUCGUCGCGUUGGACACGGAGAGCGUACUCGCACCCAGUGGUGUUGGCAUGAAGCGCCACGUCAUCUCUAGCUUCUGUGCCGUGCUCGUGCGCACUCACGACUCGAAGGUGAUGCGCAUCAGGACGCACCAUGGUGAAGAUUCCGCGAGGCAGUGCGUGAAAGCUUUGAUGGAAAUGCGGGACGAGAUGAUCGCCCUGAACGCCUGCCGCGCGGAAAUGGUGCUGAAUGAUGAGCAACGAGCACGACACACAGCCGCCACCCACUACGCGUGCUGUGAGCGGGAGUUCGCGUAACAUUUGCCACGUGUCCGGCACCACGACCAUUCCAGCGUUGUACUGCCAGCGAGACAAAUUACAUCGCGACGCUGUGCAACCCCUGUAACGUGGCGUGCACGACGCCGGAAAAACUGCUCAUCAUGGUGCACAAUCUGGCCUAUGAUUUGGAUGGACUACUGCAGGAAUUUCACCUUCUCGGGUGGAAGCGAGCUCCCUUCAUCGUGGCCAGUUCAAUGGAAAAAAUCCGAUCGUUCGAAAUCGGCACCAUCCUAUUCAGAGAUACCAUGCAGUACCUAAAUUUGUCGCUGGGAGAGCUCGUGGAAACCUUCAAAUCCAUGGGGGGCGCAGAGGCGUUCCAAUGCCUGAAGCAGGUAUUUGUCGACGACUACGAAAUUUUGCUUCGUAAAGGUGUAUUCCCGUACAGCCACGUUAGCUCGUUUGCGGUAUACGACGAAUUUGCUCUGCCAGCAAAAUCCGCCUUCCGAAACGAUCUGACGGGGGAGGAUAUAAGCGACGAAGACUAUCAGUACGCGCUGCACGUAUUUGAACAUUUUGGAUGCUCGAAUCUGAGGGAUUAUAACGCAUUGUACCUGAAAACGGAUGCCCUGUUACAUGCUGAUGUAAUGCAGCACUUGGCGCCUGUGCUACGACGCGCGCGAAUUGGAAUUGCUUCAUUGCGUUUCUCUGGCAUCCUAUUCGUGGCAAUGCUCUCUAAAUUACACGCAAGCAAAAUUGGAACUGAUCAUCGACGAGGACAUGUACCGAACCAUUGAAUCGGGUGUUAGAGGCGGGCUCUGCCAGGCGAUAAGGCGUCAUUUACGGGCUAACAACCCGCUGUGCAGUGGCUACGAUCCCGAUAAAGAACAGGUGUACAUAUCGUACAUAGAUUACAACAAUCUUUACGGAUUCAGUAUGAUAAAGCACCUCCCCGUCGGCGAUUUCGAAUGGGUCGAGGAUUUUAGCUCCGUGGAUUUUAUGCGUCACCCCGCAGAUUCGGAGGUGGGAUACGUGUACGUGUGUGAUUUGGAGUAUCCAAAAUCUAUCCACGCGCUGACGCAGUACUUCCCCCUGGCUCCCGAGAAGGCGGUCGUCCAGAAGGAAUGGCUCUCACCAUUCCAGCGCGGGCUCCUCGAAGAGUUAAUGUAUCAGCCAGCGAACAGCAAAAAGCUGCUGCUCACGUGCAAGGACAAGGUCGAGUACCUUGUUCAUUACGAGCUGCUCGCGCUCUAUUGUAGACUGGGCAUGAGGGUGACAAAAAUUCACAGAAUUCUAAAAUUUUGUGAGGCACCAUUCCUGCGUCCCUAGAUCGAGGAAAAUGUUGCAAGACGCGUUGCCUCGAGCACAAUGUUCGAGAAAAAUUUCUAUAAAAUCUCAAAUAAUGCGGUCUUCGGGCGUACGCUGCUAAAUAAAUUUAAUAUGCGGGACAUUCGAGUAGCCUUCGAUGAGGAGACGGCGAGUCGCCUCGGGAGUCGGGCGGAAUGCGUGCGAAUGGAAAUUUCGUUCCCCGAUUGCGUCAUGUACGAAAUGCGCAAAAGAAAAGUGCGAUGUGAUUUCCCCCUGCAGAUUGGCUUCACGAUUUUAAAACUGAGUAAGUUAACCAUGUACUCGUUCUACUAUGAAACCCUGCUGUGUAAGCUCACUUGUCCAGUGAUUACCUGCUACUUUGACAUGGACUCUCUGAUCCUCGGCCUAUUCUGUAAGGACUACAAAGAACAGUUACGAGCGAUCGCCGACGAACAUUUAGACUUGUUUUCCUUCGAUCGGGAUCAUCCGCUGUACAGUGAGAGGAAUCGCGGUAGGCUUGGCGCGUUCAAAAGUGAAACGGGUAGCAUACCCAUCGAGGAAGUAAUAUGCUUGAAAUCCAAAAUGUAAUCCAUCAAAUUAGCCGGAGGAAAACAGAUAGCAAGAGCUAAAGGGGUCAAAAAGAAUGUUGUGCGGAAACACCUCAUCCAUGAUACGUACCACGAUACUCUAUUCAAGCACACCAGCGUAUCGCACAAACAGGUGUCAAUAGUUGGAAAGAAACAGUGCAUGUACACCAUCAGAAAUCUGAAAAGAAGUCUGAUGGCGUACGGCGACAAACGAUACCUCUACAAUGACGUUGACUCCUACCUGUACGGAAGCUGCGAAUAUGAUAAUGCAGUGGAUGAGAAGGAGUAGCGUCAUUUGGACUGCGUCACUGGAAGGAUGUGGUACCUCGUUCUCUUCUCGCUAGUCUCGUGUGCGCUGGCGCUGGACGCCGGAAACUGUACGGCUAUCAUCAAGCUGGAGAAUGAUAAGCACACGUAUGCGCACGAAUGCCCUGGCGACAUCUUGGCCAUCAGAGAGUGGCACGUGGUACCUAUGCGGUCCGGCAUUAACCUGGACAGGAACGCUACUGGAUCGCUGCGUACGUGCCUUCACUUGCUGGACGUGAGCGACAGCUACGAAGAUAUCCAGUGCACGUGGAAGUGUCAACUCACGGAGGACGGAAUUUUUCUCAGCCGCUGUCCCCGAGACGUGUACAUGAUCCGUCACUUCCGCGGAGCCACGCCCAGCAUCAAAGGAAUCAAUCUCUCCAAGACCGCCAUGCUUUUUCUCAAACAUGUACUCAAUAAACGUUGAAAUGUAUUUUU
This is a long non-coding RNA of Ornithodoros turicata, 4782 nucleotides long. RefSeq lists it as uncharacterized. NCBI's taxonomy places the organism in Eukaryota, Metazoa, Arthropoda, Arachnida, Ixodida, Argasidae. The transcript has 2 exons. The record is from RefSeq and is a predicted model, not a curated record.